RNAcentral lists this ribosomal RNA (1396 nucleotides) under uncultured bacterium. Its description in RNAcentral is "bacterial SSU rRNA". It matches the Rfam family "Bacterial small subunit ribosomal RNA". The record is from RNAcentral.
AGUUUGAUCCUGGCUCAGGAUGAACUCUGGCGGCGUGCUUAACACAUGCAAGUCAAACCAAGCUGCUUCACUGAUCUUCUUCGGAGUUGAUGUUUUGUAUACUGAGUGGCAGACGGGUGAGUAACUCGUGGGUAACCUGCCCUGUGCAGGGGGAUAACACUUAGGAAUGACUGCUAAUACCGCAUAAGACCACAGCGCCGCAUGGUGCAUGGGUAAAAACUCCUGGUGGUACAGGAUGGACCCGCGUCUGAUUAGCUAGUUGGUGAGGUAACGGCUCACCAAGCCGACGAUCAGUAGCCGGCUUGAGAGAGUGAACGGCCACAUUGGGACUGAGACACGGCCCAAACUCCUACGGGAGGCAGCAGUGGGGAAUAUUGCACAAUGGGGGAAACCCUGAUGCAGCGACGCCGCGUGAGUGAAGAAGUAUCUCGGUAUGUAAACCUCUAUCAGCAGGGAAGAAAAUGACGGUACCUGACUAAGAAGCCCCGCCUAAUUACGUGCCAGCAGCCGCGGUAAUACGUAGGGGGCAAGCGUUAUCCGGAAUUACUGGGUGUAAAGGGUGCGUAGGUGGUAUGGCAAGUCAGAAGUGAUAACCCAGGGGUUUCCUCCGGGACUGCUUUUGAAACUGUCAGACUGGAGUGCAGGAGAGGUAAGAGGAAUUCUUACUGUAGCGGUGAAAUAUGUAGAUAUUUGGAGGAACAUCAGUGGGGAAGGGGGCUUUCUGGACUGAAACUGACACUGAGGCACGAAAGAGUGGGGAGCAAACAGGAUUAGAUACCCUGGUAGUCCACGCCGUAAACGAUGACUGCUAGGUGUCGGGAGGCAAAGCCAUUCGGUGCCGCAGCUAACGCAAUAAGCAGUCCACAUGGGGAGUACGUUCGCAAGAAUGAAACUCAAAGGAAUUGACGGGGACCCGCACAAGCGGUGGAGCAUGUGGUUUAAUUCGAAGCAACGUGAAGAACCUUACCUGAUCUUGACAUCCCGAUGACCGCUUCGUAAUGGAAGCUUUUCUUCGGAACAUCGGUGACAGGUGGUGCAAUGGUUGUCGUCAGCUCUGUGUCGUGAGAUGUUGGGUUAAUGUCCCGCAACGAGCGCAACCCCUAUCUUCAGUACCCAGCAGGUUAAGUUGGCCACUCUGGAGAGACUCCCACGGAUAACCUGGAGGAAGGUGGGGACGUCGUCAAAUUAUCAUGCCCUUUAUGACCAGGCGCUACACACGUGCUACAAUGGCGUAAACAAAGAGAAGCGAACUCGCGAGGGUAAGCAAAUCUCAAAAAUAACGUCUCAGUUCGGAUUGUAGUCUGCAACUCGACUACACGAAGCGGGAAUCUCUAGUAAUCGCAGAUCAGAAUGGUGCGGUGAACAAGUUCCCGGCUCUAGCACUCACCGCCCGUCA